Molecule: unclassified non-coding RNA, 999 nt
Filed under: Sinorhizobium sp. M49
Lineage: Bacteria; Pseudomonadati; Pseudomonadota; Alphaproteobacteria; Hyphomicrobiales; Rhizobiaceae
Description: partial contains 16S ribosomal RNA, 16S-23S ribosomal RNA intergenic spacer, and 23S ribosomal RNA
Rfam family: tRNA (bases 243-316)
Source: RNAcentral
GCUGGKAUGGAGACGGCAUCUUCGGAUGCUGACCUUUCCCGUGCUUUUUAGAACAUAGAUGGCACCAGUCAGGUGACCAUCGAACGCAAUACGUCGAGUAUGGCGAUUUGGUUGUCCUUCGAGCGCUAAGCGAGAAGGGCGGAUAGCCAAAUCCCGCUCAGAUAUGGCGAGACCCGCCGUCCACGUUUCUCUUUCUCACAAGGAUACGAACCACGCCGCAUCAUGUUGCGUGCUUAACGAAUGGGCCCGUAGCUCAGGUGGUUAGAGCGCACGCCUGAUAAGCGUGAGGUCGGCAGUUCGAGUCUGCCCGGGCCCACCAUUCGCUAACGCUCAUGGUGACCCCGGCCAGUCUCUCUAGUUUGUUUGUCCUCGCGAUCUUCGAUCGCUGCGGGCAAACGGGCCGGGCCCUUCGGAGCGAUCCGGAGCGCAUCGAAGAUGGGGGCUGUAGCUCAGCUGGGAGAGCACCUGCUUUUGCAAAGCAGGGGGUCAGCGGUUCGAUCCCGCUCAGCUCCACCAUUUUUGGAACUGGGGCGCCGGACGACCGGCGACGGCCUUUGGCCUUGCGAAGCUUUUGCUUCGUUUGAGUGCCAAAGCGUGGGUUGGAAUAUCCUUGGAAAAAAAAAUAGGUUUGCAUCGUCUCUAUCGUGAGACGGUAUGCCGUGUUCUCGCUUACAUUGUGAAGAGAAAAAUAUGUCUGGAAGCUUCCCAGGUGUUGAUGGUGAUCGAAGGGUGGGCCUGGAGACGCCCAAGCCCUGUCCCAAAAGACCCAUGAAGGGCCUACCCCACCGAAAGGGAAARAGGGUCUGGAAGGAGGAGGAAAGUUUUGUCCUUGAGGCUSGAUCGUUGUUGGGGUUUUCUUCGCAACCGCCCCUCUGAUGGUCGUGUCGGAAUUGGGUUGCCGGACGGCGCACCACCGGCAAAAUUUGGGAAAAGCUGGUCUUAAGAUGUGGCCCCAAGUCCCUCGGGGUGACUUUUGUGGGGCCCUUUCCAACCCUCCUA